CCUACGGGUGGCAGCAGUAGGGAAUAUUGCUCAAUGGGGGAAACCCUGAAGCAGCAACGCCGCGUGGAGGAUGAAGGUUUUAGGAUUGUAAACUCCUUUUGUUAGAGAAGAUUAUGACGGUAUCUAACGAAUAAGCACCGGCUAACUCCGUGCCAGCAGCCGCGGUAAUACGGAGGGUGCCAGCGUUACUCGGAAUCACUGGGCGUUAAGCGUGCGUAGGCGGGGUAAUAAGUCAGAUGUGAAAUCCUGGAGCUUAACUCGAGAACUGCAUUUGAAACUGGUACUCUGGAGUGUGGGAGAGGUAGGUGGAAUGCGUGGUGUAGGGGUAAAAUGCGUAGAGAUCAAGAAGAAUACUCAUUGCGAAGGCGGCCUGCUGGAACAUUACUGACGCUGAUGCACGAAAGCGUGGGGAGCAAACAGGAUUAGAUACCCGGGUAGUC
This 440-nucleotide ribosomal RNA is filed under the name uncultured bacterium. Its description in RNAcentral is "partial 16S ribosomal RNA". It matches the Rfam family "Bacterial small subunit ribosomal RNA", at positions 338 to 795 of the family's 1533-position model. The record is from RNAcentral.